AUGUAACCACUAAUGAAGAAAAGAGAAGUAUCUAACUUUAUAGAGAGAUGGAGUACGUAAAUGUUUCCACUGUGACACAAGAGACUCUCCUGGAAAAGGCACUCUUGAAACUGGUCAAUGUAAGGAAAGCUGUUCAGCAUGUAGGCCAUGGGCGUUCUAAGAGACAUUAUCAUUAGGCCCUCUCUGAAAAAUCUCUUGUAACCUAGAGAGCCCUAGCUACUUUUGUGAGGUCACAAGUGUUGUCCUGAUAGCAUCUGCCUCUCAGAUAUUUCUUCAGUACCCCUAGAGCUUACUAAUUGGCCUUUAAUUCAGAAUAAACAGACAUUUUUGAAGGGAGAACAAAGAGGAUGAAGAAAUCAGAGAUGUUCAAAGAAAGCUUCCCUUCUGUUUUGGUAUCAAAAAGGAAGAAUUACCUGGUCCAUUUGAGAGCUCAGUGAGUCCGGGGAAAAAUAGUCCUGAGGAAGGAGGGACAACAAGUAUUGUAUCGUCAUGUCAUCUCAAGAAAAACUCUCAAAACUCAUCCUGGCUGACAAUGUAGAUUAGACGCAUCAGAUGAAAUGAAUUGAAAAACUCUCCUGGGAAUGAAAGUGGUAAGGAAAUCACAUUGAUGUAUCCUAAAUGCAGUGCUAAGAGCAAUAUUCAGACUAGUCUGUGGAGAUGCUGCUGUCAUCAGAGACCACAGACAAUUAGUGGAGAAUGAUUCAGCAUUAAACUGGGAAUGGAAGAUGAUGGUUGAUAUUGUUCUAGUAGAUCUCACUACAUUAAAAAGUGUUUCUUCCAGAUAACUGAAUGAUUAUUGUAAAGCAAAUCCCGGAAUGAACUUAUGAGACCCACCAUCAGCCUGUCAAAUAAUGUGCGAAAGAAGAAAUCUGUGUCUCUCCAGGGACAAAUUGUUGCUUUCAAACCAACAGUAAAGUGUCCAUUCUA
Non-coding RNA from Rattus norvegicus (Norway rat), 927 nucleotides. The record is from RefSeq and is a predicted model, not a curated record. NCBI's taxonomy places the organism in Eukaryota, Metazoa, Chordata, Mammalia, Rodentia, Muridae.